Molecule: ribosomal RNA, 497 nt
Filed under: uncultured bacterium
Lineage: Bacteria
Description: partial 16S ribosomal RNA
Rfam family: Bacterial small subunit ribosomal RNA
Source: RNAcentral
GAUGAACGCUGGCGGCGUGCCUAAUACAUGCAAGUCGAGCGAACGGACGAGAAGCUUGCUUCUCUGAUGUUAGCGGCGGACGGGUGAGUAACACGUGGAUAACCUACCUAUAAGACUGGGAUAACUUCGGGAAACCGGAGCUAAUACCGGAUGAUAUUUUGAACCGCAUGGUUCAAAAGUGAAAGACGGGCUUGCUGUCACUUAUAGAUGGAUCCGCGCUGCAUUAGCUAGUUGGUAAGGUAACGGCUUACCAAGGCAACGAUGCAUAGCCGACCUGAGAGGGUGAUCGGCCACACUGGAACUGAGACACGGUCCAGACUCCUACGGGAGGCAGCAGUAGGGAAUCGUCCGCAAUGGGCGAAAGCCUGACGGAGCAACGCCGCGUGAGUGAUGAAGGUCUUCGGAUCGUAAAACUCUGUUAUUAGGGAAGAACAUAUGUGUAAGUAACUGUGCACAUCUUGACGGUACCUAAUCAGAAAGCCACGGCUAACUACGUG